ACUCAAAUGAAUUGACGGGGGCCCGCACAAGCGGUGGAGUAUGUGGUUUAAUUCGAAGCAACGCGCAGAACCUUACCUAGGCUUGACAUCCACUGACCCCUACAGAGAUGUAGGUUUCCCUUCGGGGACAGUGAGACAGGUGCUGCAUGGCUGUCGUCAGCUCGUGUCGUAAGAUGUUGGGUUAAGUCCCGCAACGAGCGCAACCCUUGUCCUUAGUUGCCACCAUUAAGUUGGGCACUCUGAGGAGACUGCCGGUGUUAAACCGGAGGAAGGCGGGGAUGACGUCAAGUCCUCAUGGCCCCUACGUCUAGGGCUACACACGUACUACAAUGGCAGAGACAAAGCGUCGCGAAGCCGCGAGGUGGAGCUAAUCGCAAAAACACUGUCUCAGUCCGGAUUGAAGUCUGCAACUCGACUUCAUGAAGCUGGAAUCGCUAGUAAUCGGAGAUCAGCACGCUCCGGUGAAUACGUUCCCGGGCCUUGUACACACCGCCCGU
RNAcentral lists this ribosomal RNA (497 nucleotides) under uncultured bacterium. RNAcentral's name for it is "partial 16S ribosomal RNA". It matches the Rfam family "Bacterial small subunit ribosomal RNA", at positions 899 to 1397 of the family's 1533-position model. The record is from RNAcentral.